UCUUUCUCGAUUCUCUUUACAACCAAGACGAUGAAUUCCAUACUUCCAUCAAAAAUGUCCUUAUUAACAACUUUGUAAAACUAUGGCAACUGAUAUUCCAAACCGAGGAGAAUAUUUUUAGGAACUUUUCAAUAAUGUAUGCCAAAGUCCCAAAGCAAGGCAACGUUGAUGACUGUGGGGUGUUUACUAUGAAAUUUAUGGAGAUUUUCAAACCCGAGGUGGACACAUGCUCAUUAUUUUGCAAGGAAGACAUUAUUCAUAUCAGAAUUCAGAUUGCCAAUCAGCUAUUUUUCUGCAAAAGGAACAAUGUAGAUAAAUCAGUGGUUCUGAACUAUAAGAUCCAGGCAUAGGUCCUUUGUGGCGUUAUUUUUUGGGAAUUAAGAAGCAGAAUACUUGUGUCAUUUUUCAAUUCUAUAAGAACUCUUGAUUAGUAUAUAUUUGUAUUGUACUUAUCAUUUCGUUUUUUAUGUAAAACAUUACUAAUCCAUAU
This is a long non-coding RNA of Lolium perenne, 490 nucleotides long. RefSeq lists it as uncharacterized. Lineage: Eukaryota; Viridiplantae; Streptophyta; Magnoliopsida; Poales; Poaceae. The record is from RefSeq and is a predicted model, not a curated record.